Molecule: ribosomal RNA, 492 nt
Filed under: uncultured bacterium
Lineage: Bacteria
Description: partial 16S ribosomal RNA
Rfam family: Bacterial small subunit ribosomal RNA
Source: RNAcentral
AGUGAACGCUGGCGGUAGGCCUAACACAUGCAAGUCGAACGGCAGCACAGUAAGAGCUUGCUCUUACGGGUGGCGAGUGGCGGACGGGUGAGGAAUACAUCGGAAUCUACUUUUUCGUGGGGGAUAACGUAGGGAAACUUACGCUAAUACCGCAUACGACCUACGGGUGAAAGCAGGGGAUCUUCGGACCUUGCGCGAUUGAAUGAGCCGAUGUCGGAUUAGCUAGUUGGCGGGGUAAAGGCCCACCAAGGCGACGAUCCGUAGCUGGUCUGAGAGGAUGAUCAGCCAAAAUGGAAAUGAGAAACGGUCCAGAAUCCUAAGGGAGGGAGCAGGGGGGAAUAUUGGAAAAUGGGCGGAAGCCUGAACCAGCCAAGACGCGUGGGUGAAGAAGGCCUUCGGGUUGUAAAACCCUGUUGUUGGGGAAAAAAAGCAGCAGGUUAAAAACCCGCUGGUCUGACGGUACCCAAAGAAAAAGCAACGGCUAACUUCGUG